AGCCCAAGGCUGACAAGCCAAUGCGCAGCACAGGAAAACUGUGCUGUGCUGUCUUUCCAGCAUACAUCUGACACCUUCGAUAACUAGAGAGCAGCUGGCCCAAAGCCUUAAACGGAUAAAAAGCUCAUGAUCUUUACUGGAAGUAAAUCGCAAACAGCCGCAGAGUUGAGGAAGUGACUGAGAAUCCAGCCAGCACAAUGCCAGGAGACCGCACAUUAAAACAGCCACGCUCUUAUCAGCUGAUACUUACAACAAACCUGUGCAAACCAGGGUAACAAUGCAUUUCCCCCUGGGCUAUGACAAACUGUGUGACAAUCUCUUGCUGGUUUGUAUGUGUCAUUUUCUAAAUGAAUCCCAGAUUUGAGCCAUGAGGAUAGAAGAGAUCCAGAACAAGUCAUUUUGUAAAAUGACGUUCUUUAAGAGGAUACAUGUUUUUAAUGAUUUAUGAGUUUUGCUUUUUAAAGGGAGAUUAGGUGAAGACCUAUUGUUCCCUAAUCUUUUUGUACAAUGCUACAGUGGUAUUCAGACCCUCACACAGUUUCUUAAUUUAAUGCAAUAUUAGUUUCAAGGGUGCCAAAGUUCACCCGUGGCUCUAAAGCUGUGCACCAUUUAGAUGCUGAUAUCUUGUAAGCAGGAUUUGAUUGCGUAAACUACCUCUUUUGGAAAGGACUUAUAGUCCGUCAGUCUGGGCACAUGGUGUACAUACACAGCGAUGAGAAAGGAAGACAAAGCAGAAUUCAGAACAAGUGGAGAGAGGCUGUUUUUUUGGCUACGGUCUCCCUCCCUCGAAUACCUCUUCCUGCUCUCAGAGGAAGCAAUCUCAAACAAUAUGAUUUCCUGUGGACAGCAGGAGCAAGACAUUGAAAUGAGCAGAAGGUGAAAGAGGUGGAGGUCAGAGACGAGCUGCUCCUAUGAACCGUUUCUGGCAAAGCGCCUUUUACUGCCACUGGUUGUCGAUCACACCUGUGCUGCAGGGAUUUACUGCGAUCCACUGUGCCCUUUUCCGAACAGUGCGCCUUGCCUGUGCACCAUCACAGCUGUCAGGUCUGUUUAUAAUCUCAGUGGUAUUGUAAUGGAGGAGUAAUGGAGAAUCUAGUUAUGUGGUAUUCACAAUAGCAAAGUGCGUAAAUGCAACAUUACGUACCCCUGACUUAUUCCCUUUGACGCUGAUCGAAGCGCCUGUGUUUGCACUGAAGGAGCUUCACAGAAGCAAAGUUUAUGGUAGGUGGUGGAGGGAUCCUGUGAUGAACCAAACAAUAAGCUUAGCUUUCUAUGAACCGAAGCAAAAAUGAUGAUGUUUCAGCACUGCAAGGUCAACUCAAACCGGGCUCACUGUGUGCAGCCUUAUUGUAAUUUCCAGUCUGAACAUCAGUCAGGAGGCUGAGACAAGUUAAGAGAAAAGCAGCAGCUACUUCACUGAGAGGUGAUGGCUGCUGCUGUGACUCACUGCAGACCAACAGGAAAAAUGUUGUGUGUUUUCUCUGCCUUGCAACUCAACAAUAAAUCUCGCAGUCUGUGAGAAGCACACCAGCGGUGCCAGAGGGCGGCGGAGCUUGUUUAAGAACCAGUGAGGCUGGUGGCAAGGCCCAAGGCUAGGGAAAUCUUACAGGAACACGGAGCUAUGUUUGUAUUGCUAUAAAUUUAUGCCCACCAGAGUCACCUUGUGUCAUAACACAAAAGAGACAUAGGCACAUUCCCUCAGUUGUGGUUUCUAAAUCUUAGACAAUAAAAUCCUUUUGAUGAUAUUUUACUGAUGAGCUUUAUAAACUACACACUCUUUUUCCAACUCCCCCUCAGCCUGCAGUGUAUCCACAGGCCGGUAACAACAGGGGGCAGGGUUGAUUUAAACUUUCCUUCAGUGAUGUGCACCUUUCAGCACUAAGCCGUGUUUGACAGACUCCGGAUGCUCUCAGGGGAUCAGGAUACACUGGUUGAUCUGCGCUGUCAUCACAAGCACACAGACAGUAACGUGGUGACUUAUACACUUUCCUGGCUCGCUUCCCUCUGAUGGGGCAUUGUUUAGACUACCAUCAGUGGAGGAAAACGUAUGUUGUGCAUUAAGAACAAUCGUGUUAUUUGUGUCUGAAAGGAUUUGCUGAAGAGAUCAGGAAAAGUCAUUUCUUUCCUACGGAAGGACAAAUUUGACCUAAUUGUAUUUUGGAGUUACCAGCAUACAAAAGCCUUUUAACUGAAUAGCCAAACUAGGGAAGAAAAUGCUCAUGUGCGUUAUUUGAAGAUAUUUAAUCAGCAGCUAUAAAUCCUGAUGCAUUUGUAAAUCCUCUGUAAUGAGCUGCAUGUGCUAAGAUGCUUUUCUAGUGUCAGAAAUGUGAUCGGUGCUGGGAAAAAACAAAACAAUCCAUUAGGAUAACGCUGCACAGAUUACUGCAGUAAAAAGUUAAAUAAACAGCAAGACACUAAUGUUGCACAUUGUGUUUUAGGCACCUAAUUGUUUUAACAUGAACCAGAGUUAGGGCUGUUAUGCUUUUAAUUCAAUUUUAAAUCUCAAAAUUAUGAUAUAUUGUAGUGAUAUUCUUCUCUAUCACAUCCUCUAACUAGGUAGAGCAUACAAUAAAACUUUAUUUUCUGAAGUUUUUGUUUGACUCUUGUCACUGUUUUACUCUGUGACCUUGGUUGAAUUGUGUUGUGUUGUGUUCCUCUCAUUGAAACAGCCUCAGUAUAGCUUUACUACAGAACCGCCAUAUGUUAAAAAACAGUACAUACAAGUUUCCUGAGGCUUAUUUCAGUGAGAUAUCAAUAGCAUAGUGGAUGCCAAGCAUAUACAAUUUGAAGUCACUCACAGUUGGUUAUUUUUACUCUCUCGCACUAUUUUUCCCAGUUACAAUGCACACACAUAUUUAUUUUUCUAAUGCUUGAACUUUAACACGUCUUCAGAGUCAGUCCCAGUCCUGCAGCAGCUGUUUGGGUUAGGGACUUGUCCCUGGAGUGCCAGGAUUACAAUCGAGGAUGAGCGUGUUUAAGUUUAGCUAUAGUGGCACGCUGGCUGGGGUUAGAUUGGGGUAGGGUGACCUACAAAGUGGAUCUGAUUUGGCACGAGAGCGAGAAUUCUUCGCUCUCAUGUGAGUCACCUGUUGCCACUUCUUACAGACCCGCACGGGUCUGGGCUCCCAUAUAUCAGUCACACCAGCAGAAGCCAGCAGGCCGAUGUGCUGUCUGCUACCUUACAUGGCUGUCUGGCUCUUCAUCUACCCACUGCUGUACACAGACCCACAGCCCUGUUAUGAUCUAUUGUUGUGCUGCAUAUGGCAUUACGCUGGAACCUUCAGGCCAGGAGGCGGCAAGGUGUUUCAGGGAGCAAAACAACCUCCUAACAAACUCCUGAUCGUGAAAAGCAGUUUUAUCUAUUUUUAUUUUGGUGUUUACUUAUUUGAAGACAGUCUUUAUACUCAGUAAUACAUAUAACAUUCAGCCUUGGCAAAGGGCACUGCUUUCAGAUUAGCGAGCUGGUAAUCUUUUAUCUUUUACUGGCAGGUUUUUAAACAAAUCUCUUUUUUUAUGAUGGCAGAGGGAGUCUGGAUUCACACUAAGCCAUGCUAAUGGCUACUUUUAAGUGUGGAUGUAUCAGCUGUUGGUGCUUCAAUGUCAAACAGAGGAACACUGAUACAGAUUUAGGUUGAAUAUCCUGCUGAAAUCACAGAGUAAGACCUUUGCUUUUUUUUUUUUUUUUACUGAGCAUCACAUGAAGUUAUAAAUCUGUUAUUUUGAAAUAUGAAGUCCUAAAAGUUCAUAUUUUAUACAUAGAAACUGCACCUUUUUGGGAGUAAGUUAAAAAAAUUUACAGUUCAUCUUUGAAAAAAAUCCCAAAAUAGUAAGUAAAGGAGAAAAAACGCCCCAAACUGUAUCAUUACAACAUUAAAUACCGCCUGUGUAUUUAAGAGGCCUCUUUGAUUAUAUGAAAGACUUGCUUAUAAUAGAGCAGUUGUGCUCAGUAGCACUGAUACUAAAGAAUUUAAAUGUCUUCCACCGUUGUUAAGGCAUCAGCUCAUAGAAAGCCUGCUUGAACAAAAGAGUCCUUUAGUUUUUUUUGGUUUUUUUACAUCUGUAUUUCUCUAUGAACACUCAGAAGAGUAACUGGUAUCUACAGGCAACUCAUUAAUUUGAUUUUAUCACUUCUCUGUAGAAAAACAGAAACUGUAAGGGUAAAUUGUGCUGGCAUUAAAUCAGAAUUACCAUGGCACAGGGAUAACGAUUUCUUAAAGUCUUCAUUGAGUAGGUAUGCAUUGCUGGUGGCUCUAUGCUUUAGGUUCCCCCCAGUGCUGUGCCUUGUUUGAGUAUAUUUGUCUUAUAUGGAAGCCAUGAGGGAAGAAGAGCGAGAUGAAAAGAGUUAACGCGAGUGGGUUGACAGCUGUACCUGCUGGGGAGGACAGGGAGUUUAACACAGACCAGGCCUCCCACUCCAUCGUACCUCUCUUCAAGAUAUCAUCACUCCCUUAAAGACUUCAUCGCUGCUUUGUGCCGAUAUUCGAGAAGCUGCUUUCAAUCAGGCAGAGAUGGUCCCUCAGAGGAACAAAGUCUUCCUUAAGUUAGCAGACAGAUGGCAGGUGUUGAUGCAGAUGACCACAGCGCGAUCGUAGGACCACCUUCUUGUGGACAUCAGCAGAAGAUGACUCUUGACGGCGGCAUCUGAGCGUUGUGUCUUCCCACCACGAGCUGUUUGUCCACACAGGGGGCAUGAGAAGAAAAAGCAGGGCAUCACGAGAGAGUGUUUCCCCCAUGGACCUCCCUUCUCUUUCCCUCUCUCUCUCUCGCUUCCUCCUCCUCCAUCUCCUCCUCUUCCUCUCCACACUCCCCCUUAAUUCUUACAUCCCUGGUGCUCUAUUUUUUGCUGGGAAGCGUUCUCUGGAAGGGGAAGUUGAAUUGUUUGUCUGGGAUCAAUGGCAAUUCCUGUCAGAGUAAACUUCAAGACAGUUAUUUACACUGUGCCUCUUGGGUUUACUGCUGAGUUUUCUGUGUUCAGGGUGAAAUUCCCACAGUGUGAGAUGUAAACUGUACUGAGGUCCUUUUGACGGUGACUUGGGUAUCCAGGUUUUGAUCUUGUAAAUCCAAAUUAUUGUGUGAAAAUGGAAUUAGCUUUAAUUCGACGACCAACAGCUUUACUCUAAGUUGUGUUUUCAGGAAACCAGUAAACACAGGAGAAUCGGUCACAAGAUUUCGGUCAAAAUACUGUACCUGCUUUGUUCAUUUGUUCGUCUCAAGGUUUCCCUUCAUCCCCCCUCAAAUGUCACACAGGCCUGCAACCAGUUGGUGAAGUUUGGGAUUGCAACAAAGAGCCACAAACAAAACCAAAAUAGCUCAUCCUCCUCCUCUUCCCUUGUUUCCCUGUUUGCUGAAUGUAAUGUGAGUGUCAGCCGAGGACCCCCUGUACUGGCAUCUGCCUGCAGAUACAUGUUCUAUUAUAUAACAGGAAUCUUUUAGGUUUAAUUCCUCCUUGCUGAAGGCCAUUCAAAUGGUUAUAAUGAAGUAGUGAGAGCAAAAACGCACAGGCAGAUAACUUCCCUUCUCUCAUGUCCUUAACGUGUUUCAGAUACACUCAGGUUUCCCACCACUUCACAUUUCGUUUUAAAAAUAAUACUAGGUCAUUUAGGAAAAUACAUGUACUUUAUGUGGAACUAUACCCAUUAUGCAGUGGUAGCGUCAUAGAAAAUGUAACAGCAACACCAGACUCGUUAGCUUGGCUUGCAGGAAGUUACUGCACCUGGCCAGGAAAUAAUCUGCCUCGUACCCACGCCUAUAACCACAACAGGGAGGAAUGAAGAUUAAACAGGUCCUGCAAUCAGACGAGAAGUUAUUUGCUGUGAACAGAGAGGAGCUUCUGGGGACAAUUUACAAGGUUUACCUGAACUUGGUUAUCGAUGAGAAGAUUUUAUUGUUAAAUUUACAAUAGGUCUACAUACAGAGUUUUAAAUGUAAUGUUUUGUAGGGUUUGUUAUGUUGAAUCAAGUUGUCGUAACUUAUUUCAUACUAGUCUCUCACAAAGAUUGCAGAGUGGAUCCACUCUGCAAUAUGCUUGAGCUUUAACUCAAGGUAUAAGACAGACAACCAUUUGCACCUAAUUUAGAGUUACUAAUUAUCCCUACUAAAUGCAUGUCUUUGAACUGUGGGAAGAAGCAGGAGUACCUGGAGAGAGCCCACACAAACAUAAGGAGAACAUGCAAACUCCACACAGAAAGACCCCGGCCUGAUGAAUUGAACUCAGGACCUUCUUGCUGUAAGGCAACAGUGCCACCAUGCUGCCCAAGAUGAAGUGAUUUCAUACGUUGUUUAUGAUAAGUAGGACCUCUAAGCACGCAGAUAAUUUGUAUACAAUUCUGAUCUGAUGUGAUUUGAUUGUUGGUUUUAUCUCUGAAAUUGUAUAUGUCGCAUUUUGUGUUAUCUUUUCUUUACUUUGUUGACCUGUGUGACCUGACUUUCCUUCUUAACUCUUCAGGAUUUGUCAAAAGGUUGUCAGCUGCACCUUCACAUUUAAUACUUGGGCUCUUGACAAGAAAGCAAAUAGGAUUAUUUACCAAAAUGUCAAACUUUUCUUUUACAGAGCAGUUUCCACCGACCUUGUUAUUUUAUGCAAAGACUCCCAUAACUUCUUAAUUACUGAUUUGGGCCUCUUAUCCCUGCCAAUUUCAUGGCCUAAAUCGUCAUAUGAAUGGUUAAAUUCUCCUCUUUAACAACUGUGCCUUUGACUGUGGAACUGGGAAAAUCUUUAAGUAUAAAUAGCAGGGGCACCAAGUAAGAAGGAUCUCGUGACAAACUCUGGCCAGGAGGUAUGACCUUGGAACCUCUGCUGUACCCCUGCCCAUAUACAUAUAUACAGUAUGGCCAUAUAUAUGUUUUAUAUUAGUUUUAUAUAAGUCUGUUCUUUUCCACUCUUUGCAUGCAAGCUUAAUUUAAAGAAAUGUGUCUGGGUGUAAUGUUUCUGAAUAUUUCUUCUUUCCUUCUUCAUUUUUCAAAGGAUCCUGGUCAUUAAUGAAAUAACUUACUUUUUUUUUCGGCAUUUCCUUAAACAAAAGCCCCUGGAGUAUCUAACACCACUAAAAGGCUUCAGUCAGUUUCACUCAGUUUUUUGAAGGGAUGGAAAAGUUGUUGCUAAUUCCUAAUUACGAAGCUUUCCACAGUUUAAAGGAUGUACUCUGAUGUUUCCAUUGUGUUGAACAUCAGGAUGGAUUUAGAAGCGGAACAGCAUUCACAUCCAAUUACAGCAUGAAGAGAUUUGUAACAAAGAAGUGUAGUCCAUGACUUAAAGUAAUCUUGUCGCUUAGAGCUUCUCAGUAGUGCCAGGAUGAGGUCUGGACGUGAGUGUAUGUGUGACAGUGAGCUCAAGAGCAGGAGAGGAUUGCAUUAUAUGAAUUUGUAUGAGUGAGCGUAGUAUGUAGAAUUUGUACUUGAGUGUUUGAUGGAAAAAUCCCACACUGCCAGGAUGCAUUAAUGUAACCCUCCCCAACAGCCUGAGAGUCUGACCCCUGCACAUUUCAGCCCUGCCUCACCCAAGUCCAAGGGAAGCCAUGCUUGAUGGACAUGUACUCCUGAAUGGUCAUCACAACCUUAUGUGCACCCUCUAACUGGUAUUUGGAAUCCACAGUGGGGAAUUCUCAACACAGAAAGUCAAGGUUGUUUUAUGUAAUUAAAAUAAUUAUAUGCAGUUUUAUGUACGCCAGACAUGUCAAGUGCGAAUCCUGCCAUGUGUGCCGAUGAACUCCACAUCACCGCAGAUCUAGCUUUUAAACUGUGAGUUCAUAACCGACGGAUGGGUCCCUCUAUUCUCAAGCCCAGAAUAUCACUUCCAAAAACAAUUCAAAAUUUCAGAUGAUCAAACCACAGGGCAGUUUACAACUUUGCCUCAGUCCACCCAGUGAAAGUGGUGGUUUUUAUUAAUGUUGUUGAUUUAUUUAUGUAUUUAUUUAUUUAUGAAUGUAAUAAUGAAACAUGUUCCUAAGGUUAUGCCAAGAUUUCCAGCACAGAGUUGUGUCUGGUUUUACAGCCGACGGGGCCAGAAGAUCACAGAGGCUCAAUGAUAAUGUUUUUGAAAUACACAGUGGUGUCACUGACUACCAAUAAACAUAUUUAGCUAUGAUA
This is a long non-coding RNA of Oreochromis niloticus (Nile tilapia), 8085 nucleotides long. RefSeq lists it as uncharacterized. The transcript is spliced from 2 exons. Lineage: Eukaryota; Metazoa; Chordata; Actinopteri; Cichliformes; Cichlidae. The record is from RefSeq and is a predicted model, not a curated record.